GCAUGCAGCCGGCAAGCGCAUCGUGGUGCUUCGGUACCGAGCUGAUACCGCAGGCGUCCGUCUUUUGUUUGCGAAAAGGGAUCGCGAGGAAAGGUGCUGACGUUGGAGGGGGAAAGGUGGCGGGGGAACAGGUAGGAGGCAGCUUUCAACCGGUUUUAGGCUUAACUCCUGUGUUCCUGAGCACGGUUCUGGGCUUCGAGGGGUUUGCUUUUGGCUUUUUGCCUUCAGCGCGUCCUCCGUCACCGCUGUCGGCGUGCGCUGAGCUGCUGCUUAGGGAACUGUGGUGAUACAGACUGUGUGCGUGCCAGCCGUCCUCCAGGCUAUAGCUGUAUUCUACCCUAAAAAAAGCUUUCCGUAAUAUUAUGCUUCCGUUAGGACGCAAUUUUCUCGAGUUCCCCCCACCUCAGGGUGAUUUUCCCACACCCCUAACCCCAACCCCUAAGCCCACCUGCAACACCCCAUUUUCUCCUAGGCUUGUAGGAGUGGCCUGAGAGGUGCUUGCAGGGUAUUCCAUUUUGCCUUAGACAGCUUAGGAGACCAACCACAUGCCUGGAGAUCUGUAUCUAUCGUUAGGCUCCUAGUGGGAUUCACACAAAACCAGUAUGUGUGGGCACAUUCUCCUAGCAGCUCGGUGUCUUUUUGCUGUUGCAGAGGUGAUUUCCAGGCGGAGCUGACCAGUGGGGUUCUCUGGCUGAGGGGAAGACCAGCCGUCAGCUGGUGGAUGUGCUUCUGGAAGAAAUAGCAACGGGAGCUCUAAGAGAGGGAAAUGGCUUCCCUGCAUGGGUUCGUCUGGAAUUGUACAUUGACAAAUCAAGGGGAGCGGAACCGAAGGUCAGUCGAGAUGUUACUUUUCCCCGUGUGCCUUGUGCUUGUGAGUCGGACUGCUGACUACGGAGGGAUAACCUUUGUACUUGCCGAGGGCCCGCGAGGCUCCGUGUGCCCGCUGCUUCCGAGUGCUGCGCUGCGGCUCGGGCAACGGCCGGGGAGGAAUUGUCGGUCCCUCGUGGUUACGCAGCCGGGCCUGCUAGGCGCUUGAAGCAGCGCGUCCGGUCGGGCAGUAUUAUUUUUCUAGAUUGUAAAUGAGCCCGAGGUAUAAACCCACUUACGUUUCUGUAUGGCGGUGUACUUUGUGAGAGAGCUCAGAUGUACUGAUGGAGCUGGCACAGACUUCCCUUGGGACUCCAGAUUUGACUGUCUUGUUGAAAGGCUCCAGAGCCUGCUUUGAAAGUCGCUUGACAAAGCACAGCUUUGCCGUGAUUUUUAUACCGGAAUUCCGACUGUAAUGCCAAUGCCACGUGUUAGCCUUUCUCCAGCAGCUAUUAAAAGCAGAAUGAGCGUUAAGAAUCUGAUUACCUUUGAACUAAAUUCAAAACAAAGCUGCGGGGUGAAGCGACUGGAAGCGUCCUGCCAGUCUGACGUGGGUAUCGCUGCCGUGCGUGUUUUCUGCCUGUCUACUGAUCGCUCCUGCCUCUUGUUCUGCUGUGGUAAUUCCUUUGGGUAAGGCGUUGGGCUCUGACUAAAGUGCAUCCUGACUUCCUCCUGACCCCUGCGAGAUGUUAUCGGUGUUUGCCUUCCUCCCCUUUCACAGGGCCUCGGCUGUUGCGUGCAGAGAAGCUGUCAGCCUUGUGAGAGAGCAUGCAGCCGGCAAGCGCAUCGUGGUGCUUCGGUACCGAGCUGAUACCGCAGGCGUCCGUCUUUUGUUUGCGAAAAGGGAUCGCGAGGAAAGGUGCUGACGUUGGAGGGGGAAAGGUGGCGGGAGAACAGAGGUGAUUUCCAGGCGGAGCUGACCAGUGGGGUUCUCUGGCUGAGGGGAAGACCAGCCGUCAGCUGGUGGAUGUGCUUCUGGAAGAAAUAGCAACGGGAGCUCUAAGAGAGGGAAAUGGCUUCCCUGCAUGGGUUCGUCUGGAAUUGUACAUUGACAAAUCAAGGGGAGCGGAACCGAAGGUCAGUCGAGAUGUUACUUUUCCCCGUGUGCCUUGUGCUUGUGAGUCGGACUGCUGACUACGGAGGGAUAACCUUUGUACUUGCCGAGGGCCCGCGAGGCUCCGUGUGCCCGCCGCUUCCGAGUGCUGCGCUGCGGCUCGGGCAACGGCCGGGGAGGAAUUGUCGGUCCCUCGUGGUUACGCAGCCGGGCCUGCUAGGCGCUUGAAGCAGCGCGUCCGGUCGGGCAGUAUUAUUUUUCUAGAUUGUAAAUGAGCCCGAGGUAUAAACCCACUUACGUUUCUGUAUGGCGGUGUACUUUGUGAGAGAGCUCAGAUGUACUGAUGGAGCUGGCACAGAGUUCCCUUGGGACUCCAGAUUUGACUGUCUUGUUGAAAGGCUCCAGAGCCUGCUUUGAAAGUCGCUUGACAAAGCACAGCUUUGCCGUGAUUUUUAGACUGGAAUUCCGACUGUAAUGCCAAUGCCACGUGUUAGCCUUUCUCCAGCAGCUAUUAAAAGCAGAAUGAGCGUUAAGAAUCUGAUUACCUUUGAACUAAAUUCAAAACAAAGCUGCGGGGUGAAGCGACUGGAAGCGUCCUGCCAGUCUGACGUGGGUAUCGCUGCCGUGCGUGUUUUCUGCCUGUCUACUGAUCGCUCCUGCCUCUUGUUCUGCUGUGGUAAUUCCUUUGGGUAAGGCGUUGGGCUCUGACUGAAGUGCAUCCUGACUUCCUCCUGACCCCUGCGAGAUGUUAUCGGUGUUUGCCUUCCUCCCCUUUCACAGGGCCUCGGCUGUUGCGUGCAGAGAAGCUGUCAGCCUUAGGUGAUUUCCAGGCGGAGCUGACCAGUGGGGUUCUCUGGCUGAGGGGAAGACCAGCCGUCAGCUGGUGGAUGUGCUUCUGGAAGAAAUAGCAACGGGAGCUCUAAGAGAGGGAAAUGGCUUCCCUGCAUGGGAGGAGGCGGGCAGCGCUGAAGCUUUCGUGGCCAAGCCCCGGAGCCAGGAUGUCAGGGAGAAGCAGGAGUAUCUGAGCCAGCUGAAGAACAAGCUGGGAGAUCUACUAGAGGGGAAGGCAGAUGAUCUGAAGACUGCUUUCUGUGCGAUUGAUCCCGGUAUCGACGAUCAGACGCUAGAUACCUACGUUGACCUGCCGGAUCAAGAAGAUGUGCCUGUGGAAACUGCACUCGAGAGGCUGCUUGCUGGAUAUGCGAGACGAGUAGGGCCCUCGCCCAGGGAGGGAAGCACGACAGGCUUCGGAGGGGAGGAAGGAGACUUCCAAUAAUAAGAAUAAAUGGACUGUUUGAUCUACGGGUUUGGGUGCCAAGCCGAGAGUUGGAGUUACUGCGUUAAAUACUUCUUCCCAUUGCAUAUGGAGGUACAGCUCGUAAGAGCUGAGUGGGUGGGCUAGCUUGAGCUAUCGGAAGCGCUUUCAUCUUAAGCAGCACAGCACUCCGAGACAAUUUUACAGCCUCUGCAGAGUCAUUUUAGCUCAGCAAGACCUGUGGUGGGAGGCUGCCUGAUCCCCAGACAGAGGCUUCACACCCCCGGGGCGCCGAGGCACUUCAGGGUGUCAGGCGCUCUGCUUGGUGACACAAGAGCUGUGCUCCACAGCCAUUGCUGGAACCUGAGAAGCCACCGUCAGGCUCCAGGCUGCAGCGUGGCUGCUUUGGCCCUUGGCCCUUACAGUCCCUUGUCUCAAAGAAAGAGGGUUUCAAAGAUUCCUUUGCAAAAUAAGGUGCCGGUUGCAAGCAAAAGGUGAGGUCAGCCCACACGAAGUCUGCUAUCGUGUCUGUCCCCGAGGAGACUUUUGUCUUGGUGUGGCUGCUGUUGUCCAGUAUGAAAUCACUCAACAGACGUUCAAGUGCUGCCCCACGAGUAGAUUUAACCAAACUCUGAGCUGCAAAAGUCAUCCAAGCAUAGAAAAACUGAAAUCAGUCCCUUGCUGCGAGGAAGGCACCACGUGCCCUUUGGUAACUUUACUCAGUCGUCCCUACUCAUAGUGUCCGCUUUGCCCUGCACAUAGCCCUCUCUAGGGAGGGGAGGGA
This is a long non-coding RNA of Falco peregrinus (peregrine falcon), 3960 nucleotides long. RefSeq lists it as uncharacterized. The record is from RefSeq and is a predicted model, not a curated record. The transcript is spliced from 7 exons. NCBI's taxonomy places the organism in Eukaryota, Metazoa, Chordata, Aves, Falconiformes, Falconidae.